Molecule: long non-coding RNA, 1010 nt
Organism: Pleuronectes platessa (European plaice)
Lineage: Eukaryota; Metazoa; Chordata; Actinopteri; Pleuronectiformes; Pleuronectidae
Exons: 3
Source: RefSeq, a predicted model, not a curated record
AGUGAGCAGCACACGCCUCAUCAGACUGUCCGCGGCUUCCACUCCCAUAUCGUAUGAGAAACACGGUUUGAAGUUCUGCUUGUUCUCCUGAGGGACACGUCAAAGACGUCUGCGCUCUGUGAUCUGUGUAUUGGUUUUAAGUACCUGUAGAAGGUCCAACUUGACACACAACUUGAAUCCAACCACACUGAACACUGACUCCAGGGACAGACGAGCCUGAAGGACACAGCUGUGAUGACCAUGUUCUGUCUCUUAUGGCAAAGCAGAAAUAUUAAACACUGGGUUGACCAGCAUAAAGCUGCAGAUCUCCACCAUGUUGCAACUGAGGACAUCAGGAGCUGCAUUAAUGAGGAGCAGAAGCGCACUGUUAUGAAUGUUUUGUGUUGUGUAUGAAGCACCACAUAUUUCAGAUAGAACCAAUGUACUGGGGUCUGGGUUUGUAUCCUAAUGGUUAAAUGCACAUACUUUAAAUCGCUUUUGAUAAAACGUGAGAAAGAAAUACAACAUUGUAUACAUAGAUAAAAUGUCUUUCUACCUCAUCUGUAAUAUUCAAGGUGAUGAUCUCCCACAGAGCUGUUGAUAACAGUCCACAUCAAGUCUCUCCACUUCCCUCAGUGUGAAAACAUAAUUAUAUAAUUAAUGUGAGAACUGUUUACAACACUGAUUUGUGGACAUUAUAAUCUUAUCUAUACUGUCUAAUUCACUCGACAACUCCAUGACAGACUAAAUAAACGAUGUGAAAAUAGUAAUGGUGGAUAUACCAGCCUGUAUCAGAAUAUUGGUGAAACAUAGUUACUAUCACAUGCAACGUACACGUGUAGCGUAUUGAUAGUAACUUAUUAAAAAAAUAAAUAAAGUCACAACCAAAACAAGACUGUGGAGUUAACUUGCUUCAAUCUGUUCAUUAGACGUGAUAAAUAAACGGUAACUUUUAUAACAAUUACAUAUUACACAAAACUUGAGGCAUGUAAGCAUAUGAUGAUAGAUAAAGCAAUAGGUUAUGUUGUAUA